RNAcentral lists this ribosomal RNA (510 nucleotides) under uncultured bacterium. RNAcentral describes it as "bacterial SSU rRNA". It matches the Rfam family "Bacterial small subunit ribosomal RNA", at positions 32 to 517 of the family's 1533-position model. The record is from RNAcentral.
AAACAACGCUGGCGGCGUGCCUCAGACAUGCAAGUCGAACGCGAAAGCCCCCUUCGGGGGGCAAGUAGAGUGGCGCACGGGUGAGUAACACGUAGGUAAUCUACCUUUGGAUGGGGAAUAACAACCGGAAACGGUUGCUAAUACCGCAUAAUGCAGCGGCACCUAAUGGUGACAGUUGUUAAAGCGGGGGAUCGCAAGACCUCGCGUCUGAAGAGGAGCCUGCGGCGGAUUAGCUAGUUGGUAGGGUAACGGCUUACCAAGGCGAUGAUCCGUAGCCGGCCUGAGAGGGCGGUCGGCCACACUGACACUGACAUACGGGUCAGACUCCUACGGGAGGCAGCAGUCGGGAAUUUUGGGCAAUGGGCGAAAGCCUGACCCAGCAACGCCGCGUGAAGGAUGAAAUCCCUCGGGAUGUAAACUUCGCAAGAACGGGAAGAAUAAGUCUGCGCAAAUAUCGCAGAUGAUGACGGUACCGUUUGUAAGCUCCGGCUAACUCCGUGCCAGCAGCCG